GCCGGGUGUGGUGGUGUGUGCCUGUAAUCCAAGCUACUUGGGAGGCUGAGACAGGAGGAUAGCUUGAGCCCAGGAGUUCAAGUGCAGUGAGCUACAACUGCACCACUGCACUCCUGCCUGGGCAACAGAUUGAGACUCUGUCUUAA
Unclassified non-coding RNA from Pongo abelii (Sumatran orangutan), 146 nucleotides. It matches the Rfam family "Metazoan signal recognition particle RNA". From Rfam's summary of the family: The signal recognition particle (SRP) is a universally conserved ribonucleoprotein. It is involved in the co-translational targeting of proteins to membranes. The eukaryotic SRP consists of a 300-nucleotide 7S RNA and six proteins: SRPs 72, 68, 54, 19, 14, and 9. NCBI's taxonomy places the organism in Eukaryota, Metazoa, Chordata, Mammalia, Primates, Hominidae. The record is from Ensembl.